Molecule: small nucleolar RNA, 72 nt
Organism: Pteropus vampyrus (large flying fox)
Lineage: Eukaryota; Metazoa; Chordata; Mammalia; Chiroptera; Pteropodidae
Source: Ensembl
CAGCCCAAUGAUGGGAGUAUGCUGUGAACCAAGGCUUAUGAUUAAUGCGAUUCUGUGCACCUGAGGCCCUUU